This 1478-nucleotide unclassified non-coding RNA is filed under the name Limulus polyphemus (Atlantic horseshoe crab). Its description in RNAcentral is "uBX domain-containing protein 1-B-like, transcript variant X2". Lineage: Eukaryota; Metazoa; Arthropoda; Merostomata; Xiphosura; Limulidae. The record is from RNAcentral.
AUACUUUAUAUGUAAGUGCCUUUGUAUGUUUUCAGGCUCUUGGCUCACAGUGAUGAGGUGGGUAUUGAUGAACCUAUGGACCAAGAUGACUCAAAAAAUCAAAAAGUACAAGUGGUUGGCCAAGGAGACAACAGAAGCCUGUCUUUGUUGGACCAAAAUAAAAUAUCUGAUGCAGAACAAGAAUUGGCAAACUUGGACACAGAAGAAACUAAAAUUGAUAACGAGAAAGGAGAGGAAAGUAAUGAAGUGGAGCAGCCAAAAUCCCUCCAGUGUGAUGAAUGUGGUAAGAAGUUUAAAUCUGAAACUGAAGUUGAGUUUCAUGCAGUUAAAUCUGGACACCAGAGUUUCUCAGAAUCAACAGAAGAAAUCCAACCUUUAACAGAAGACGACAAACGAGAGCAGUUAAGAAAGUUAGAAGAGAGAAUCAAACAGAGAAGAUUAGAAAGGGAGGAACUUGAAAAGAAAAGUGCUAUUGAAAGAGAAAAACAGAGGAGGAAAACAGGCCAAGAACUAACUCUUGCAAAACAGAAGAUGGAAGAAGAAGAAAUAAAAAGGCUAGCCGAGCAGAAACGAAAAGAAAAAUUAGAAGAGAAAAUGGCCAGACAGAGGGUGUUGGAAGAAAUAGAGAGAGAUAAACAAGCUCGAAAAGAGAAGUUUAAUAUAGGACCUCCAGCAGUGGCAGCUCCCUCCCCACCAUCACAACCUGUUCAGGAGGUUUCUAUACCAAAAGGAGUACGAUAGUUGUAGGUUACAGAUCCGUUUGACAAAUGGCCAGACGUUAACUAAUAGUUUUGGUGCUAGUGAAGCAUUGGCUGCAGUUCGAUUGUACAUAGAACUUAACAGAACAGACGGAGGUCUCCCCUUCUCUUUGAUGACCACCUUCCCUCGAAAAGUCUUUACUGAAGAAGAUAUGCAGAAACCUUUGAAAGCUCUAGGGUUGGUUCCAUCAGCUGUUCUUACAGUGACCAAACCUCAGUAAGCAACGAUACACACCUUACAAAGUUAUUAGGUAUCACAAAUAGUUUGACUGUAUGAAGUAAUAUGAGUUUCAAAAAAUCCAGUUUCCUCUUUUAUAACCGAUUGCUGUAAAAUUUUACAAAAUAAGAAGUGCUUACUAGUUAGAAAUGACAUCUCCGUGGAGACACCGAGCUUCUUCUGCAAUUGAAAAAUAUGCAAAGUGAUGAUUUUCUUCUUCCAGUUGAAUUACGAAUAAAUUAAAGCACAAAUAUCUUAGUAAGGUACCUCAAUUUAUAUAUAUAUUAAACAUUGUGCAUUCGUUACAGGAUGUUAUUUCCAUUUUUAAGUUACAUAAUGCUGAAAUAAAACUUGUUAUUGUUUUGAUACAAAUUACUUUUUUGUUCAUUGUCUUUUAGUGUAUUGUUUUAAACGAAAGAAAAGUGGUUAAACAAGUUUAGUUAGUAAAAAAACGAUUCUCAAAAUGAAGAAAGAAGGUUACUUUUAUUUUUCUAAUAUAGUGU